CUCAGCAGCUGCGCUAGGUAGGAUAUAAAAGAAGGUCUCAUUAUUAUAUAAACCCAAUAAGAAUACAUAGAAUACAGCAGUGUGACACAAGCAGUGCUUACAGACAGCAUCUCUGUUUCGUAACAGGUAUCCAUGUAUUUUCUCUUAGAUGCCAUAUACCAGAUUGACUUCUCCCUGGCAGUGACUGGCAUUUAGGGAGGAGUUAAAAAUUACUUCCUUCCCCCGCUUCAGCUUCAGUUCCUCCAGCAUGAACACAUAUAGACUAGGGCUUCAAAGGCUCCAGCAACAUUUCCAGAUGUCCUAGACACCACGUGGGUGUUAGUAAAACAAGGAGGACCAAAGAAGAGGUACCUAUCACUGAUAUAUUACUAUAUAUACUAUAUAUAUAUAUAUUGAUCGCUUCUUAUGCAAGUUUAUUGUUUACAGUUUUCACAUCAACUUAAACAUUCUUCAGUUAUCUGAAUGUAUGUAUGUAGGCAUUAUGUUACAAACUUUCCUUUUCUGAAGGAAACAUAAAUGUACAUAGAAAACCAUCAAGGCUGCAGACCCAAGCACUCAAAACCCAGGCGUACAGCAAACAAGUAAACAGAUUGUAAGGCAAAUAGGUAUACGGGUACAGGACCAGAGAGAUUACCACAUUACAAAGGCAUGAUGAAAUAAAGAGCUUACCCUGGUCGUGGGCUCACCAAAGGGCUCCAAGAGUCAGCCCUUACAUGGGGUCUUCCGGUCACUCAGGUGAAACUGUGUUCAACUGUGUCCUCUGCGGCUGACUCAGUGCUCGCCUCAGGUGGUCAAUCUGAGGUUCAGGCCACGAUUCAACAGUUGCCAUACACCGGGAAACGCCAGAAUUAAGUUGGCAUGGCAAAAGAAAAUAUUUUUCUCUUAAUUUCAUUCCCAGAAAUGGUGAAACCAUUUCUUUGUUUAAGCUUUCCAAACCAAUUCAUCUGAAGCAGACAUUCAGCAUGAAAAGUUUCAGCCCAAACAACUGAAACCUGACAAAGUUAGAUGCCACUGAAAAAAGGGGUCUUAUCAUGGGAAACGUGAGGCAAGCUUAAUUCCAGGCAGCACUACCAGCAUCAUUUAAAACACAGUUACAAUCAAAAUUUCAUCCUGACUUUACCUUGUAUGUUUAGCUAUAUACUGUCGAGAAG
Molecule: long non-coding RNA, 1151 nt
Filed under: Gallus gallus (chicken)
Lineage: Eukaryota; Metazoa; Chordata; Aves; Galliformes; Phasianidae
Description: lncRNA (ENSGALG00010002326.1)
Source: RNAcentral